GUGRAACUGCGAAUGGCUCAUUAAAUCAGUUAUCGUUUAUUUGAUAGUACCUUACUACUUGGAUAACCGUGGUAAUUCUAGAGCUAAUACAUGCUAAAAACCCCGACUUCGGGAGGGGUGUAUUUAUUAGAUAAAAAACCAAUGCCCUUCGGGGCUCCUUGGUGAAUCAUAAUAACUUAACGGAUCGCAUGGCCUUGCGCCGGCGACGGUUCAUUCAAAUUUCUGCCCUAUCAACUUUCGAUUGUAGGGUAUUGGCCUACAAUGGUAUCAACGGGUAACGGGGAAUUAGGGUUCGAUUCCGGAGAGGGAGCCUGAGAAACGGCUACCACAUCCAAGGAAGGCAGCAGGCGCGCAAAUUACCCAAUCCCGACACGGGGAGGUAGUGACAAUAAAUACUGAUACAGGGCUCUUUUGGGUCUUGUAAUUGGAAUGAGUACAAUUUAAAUCCCUUAACGAGGAACAAUUGGAGGGCAAGUCUGGUGCCAGCAGCCGCGGUAAUUCCAGCUCCAAUAGCGUAUAUUAAAGUUGUUGCAGUUAAAAAGCUCGUAGUUGAACCUUGGGUCUGGCUGGCCGGUCCGCCUCACCGCGUGCACUGGUCCGGCCGGACCUUUCCUUCUGGAGAACCGCAUGCCCUUCACUGGGUGUGCCGGGGAACCAGGACUUUUACUUUGAAAAAAUUAGAGUGUUCAAAGCAGGCCUUUGCUCGAAUACAUUAGCAUGGAAUAAUAGAAUAGGACGUGCGGUCCUAUUUUGUUGGUUUCUAGGACCGCCGUAAUGAUUAAUAGGGAUAGUCGGGGGCAUCAGUAUUCAAUUGUCAGAGGUGAAAUUCUUAGAUUUAUUGAAGACUAACUACUGCGAAAGCAUUUGCCAAGGAUGUUUUCAUUAAUCAGUGAACGAAAGUUAGGGGAUCGAAGACGAUCAGAUACCGUCGUAGUCUUAACCGUAAACUAUGCCGACUAGGGAUCGGGCGAUGUUAUUCUUUUGACUCGCUCGGCACCUUACGAGAAAUCAAAGUUUUNGGNUCUGGGGAGAUGCUGGACAAAA
RNAcentral lists this ribosomal RNA (1044 nucleotides) under Rhytidhysteron neorufulum. RNAcentral's name for it is "SSU rRNA". The record is from RNAcentral. Lineage: Eukaryota; Fungi; Ascomycota; Dothideomycetes; Hysteriales; Hysteriaceae.